AUGAACGCUGGCGGCGUGCCUCAUACAUGCAAGUCGAGCGCACGGACGAGAAGCUUGCUUCUCUGAUGUUAGCGGCGGACGGGUGAGUAACACGUGGAUAACCUACCUAUAAGACUGGGAUAACUUCGGGAAACCGGAGCUAAUACCGGAUAAUAUUUUGAACCGCAUGGUUCAAAAGUGAAGGACGGUCUUGCUGUCACUUAUAGAUGGAUCCGCGCUGCAUUAGCUAGUUGGUAAGGUAACGGCUUACCAAGGCAACGAUGCAUAGCCGACCUGAGAGGGUGAUCGGCCACACUGGAACUGAGACACGGUCCAGACUCCUACGGGAGGCAGCAGUAGGGAAUCUUCCGCAAUGGGCGAAAGCCUGACGGAGCAACGCCGCGUGAGUGAUGAAGGUCUUCGGAUCGUAAAACUCUGUUAUUAGGGAAGAACAUAUGUGUAAGUAACUGUGCACAUCUUGACGGUACCUAAUCAGAAAGCCACGGCUAACUACGUG
Molecule: ribosomal RNA, 496 nt
Filed under: uncultured bacterium
Lineage: Bacteria
Description: partial 16S ribosomal RNA
Rfam family: Bacterial small subunit ribosomal RNA
Source: RNAcentral